ACAAAACCAAUCAUAUCCCCCCUUGACAAAUGGGCCAUACCAUGGGCCACUUGGCAAACAGAGGUGAUAAGACAAGCUGGCAUUCACUGUCUGCCAGACAGUCUGUCUCCAAAUUUUAGAAACUGUGUCAAGUUUACAACCCCGCUGUUGUCAUACCAAAUGAGAACCAACAUCCAAAGCCUGUUUAGAUGCCAAAUCAUCAGUGUCUUUCCCAACAGUAGCAGAGAAGAACAUGGAGUGGCUAUGACACUUUGAGGCAGCCAAUUUAGCAGCCUCAUCAGCCUCAUAUUUCGAAUAGUACUUCCACAAGCAUUGUGAAAACCCCUACUCCUCCAGACACCACACCAGGAGAGACAAACCCCUAUUGCAUAAGCAGAAUCGAAGAAAAGUGUAACCCUUUUCCCUUCUCUCAUGUUACAGGCAGUGGUUAGUGCCAAAAGUUCAGCCUGUUGAGCUGAGAAGGUAUCUGGUAAUGGUUGUUGUAUGUGAGUGGUUCUAUCAAUUGUUACAAUACCAAACCCUGCAUGUUUCUUCCCUGUAGUUUGAUCUAUAUAUGCAGAACCGUCCACGAAAAGCUCAGCAUCAGUCAGGGCAGUGUCAGAGAGGUGAGGCCCAGCAUUCGUUGGUGUGGGACCCACUGUCUCUGCACUGCCUUUGGUUGAAUCUGUCAUGGUGCCCCGUGAUUUGGUUUUAAUCAGGUUCUAUGUAAUGUGGACUGAGUGACUUAUCUGUAUGGUACUGUAGAAAAACCCAGUUCUAUCCCCGUAAACAGGUAGUAGAACCUAACAUAGGGUGAUAUACCCAACGCAGUUCUAUUUUCUCUAACCCCUCUUCUUCUUUAGUUUCACUACAUUUAUUCACUAACCACGCUACUGUAAGUGGUUCCACAUACGUGUGGUAAAUAACCACAAUUGGUUUCAAUUGUAUUUUAACUUCAGUACGGGUGUCUCUCUGUCUCCUCUCUUGUGGAUGUAAUGGAAGAGUAAACUCACAUACAUGUCUUUCCCAAAACGCAAUUCUUAAAUGUAUCCCUUCUUGUACUAGUCUUAAAGACUUGUUGUCUAUACCAGUCUAGAUUUAUUUCAGCACAUAGAAAUUCUUGAUAUUGACUAGCAUAUAUCCAUUCACUGUUAUCAAUACACUCAAUUCAUUCAACAAUUGUACCACACCAAAUCUAUAAUCCCACCAAUUAUACAUAUAUCAAAACAAAACCAAUGUCUUCCCUCAGGUAAGGACACCAUACACAACCAUUCUUUAAAAACCUGUGCCUUCCAUCAGGUAAGGACACCUUACACAACCAUUCUUUAAAAACCUGUGCCUUCCCUCAGGUAAGAACACCAUACACAACCAUUCUUUAAAAACCUGUGCCUUCCCUCAGGUGUCAUGCCCUGACCAUAGAGAGCCCUUGGUUCUCUAUGGUGUAGUAGGUCAGGGCGUGACUAGGGGGUGUUCUAGUUCAAUAUUUCUAUGUUGGUGUUUUGUAUGGUUCCCAAUUAGAGACAGCUGGUAAUCGUUGCCUCUAAUUGGGGAUCAUAUUUAGGUAGCCAUUUUUCCCACCUGUGUUUGUGGGAUAUUGUUUGUAUUGGUGCUUGUUUGUUGUUUUGGUUAAGGAAGUUUCACUUUAAAUAACUAUGUGGAACUCAACAAACGCUGCACCUUGGUCCGUCUCUUACAACAACUGUGACACCGGUUAAGGACACCAUAUACAACAAUUCUUUAAAAACCCAUGCCUCCCCUCAGGCAUCUGCUUACCUUCUAAUUUGAUGCGCUGCACAGUGGGACGAAGAUCAUCCAGAUGCAGUGGUCACCAACUCCUGUGGUUUCUCACUCUACUAUAAGCCAUUUCAACUUCAUCUGGAAAAAUCGUAUACAUUAUAUUAGGAAAUCUGUCAUUAUGAAUAUGGUGAUCUCAAUUGUUUUUAUUUUCUUAUUUUGAAUAAUACUUAAGAUAAAUUGGACUAAACAUUUCUUAAAGAAUCCGUCUUCAGUUUGGAAUCUCAUCCCUCAUAUCUUCUCCUGUUUUGGUGGCCUCAAUUUUGUUACUUUGUAACUAUAAACUGUAUAAGAUUCUUACAAAAUGAUCUGCUUUUCAUAGACAAGUAUUCUUAGCGUGGUCGUUAAUAUAUAAACAAUUUCUCCCCGCAUACAGUGCCUUGCUAAAGUAUUCGGCCCCCUUGAACUUUUCAACCUUUUGACACAUAUUCAGAAUAAUUUUGCACGGCCAAUUUUUCAGUUUUUUAUUUGUUAAAAAAGUUUGAAAUAUCCAAUAAAUUUCGUUCCACUUCAUAAUUGUGUCCCACUUGUUGUUGAUUCUUCACAAAAAAUUACAGUUUUAUAUCUUUAUGUUUGAAGCCUGAAAUGUGUCAAAAGGUCGAAAAGUUAAAGGGGGCCGAAUACUUUCGCAAGGCACUGUAGGUAUUUCAUUUGGCACAAGGAUAUUUUGUAUAGAAAAAAGUCUUUAUUUUAAGAACUGGUUUAAUAAUCAUAUCCUGCUGGUGACUGAACUUUGUAAUGUAGAAGGAUUGUUACUCAAUUAUGAGGAAUUUUUAUCUCGUUACAAUAUCCCUGUAACACCUAGAGAGAACACUAUAGUCUUUGACGCUAUUCCAUCUGGAACUCAUGUUUAGAGGCAUAGCCAGACCUCUGUCACGCCCUGACCAUAGAGCCAUUGUUUCUUUAUGGUGUAGUAGGUCAUUGUGUGACUAGGGGGUGAUCUAGUAUAUCUAUGUUGUGUUCUACUUUCUUUUUCUAUGUUGGUGUUUUGUAUGAUUCCCAAUUAGAGGCAGCUGGUAAUCAUUGUCUCUAAUUUGGG
Molecule: long non-coding RNA, 2812 nt
Filed under: Salmo salar (Atlantic salmon)
Lineage: Eukaryota; Metazoa; Chordata; Actinopteri; Salmoniformes; Salmonidae
Description: lncRNA (ENSSSAG00000120764.1)
Source: RNAcentral